This 829-nucleotide long non-coding RNA is filed under the name Salvia miltiorrhiza (redroot sage). RNAcentral's name for it is "long non-coding RNA (SMIL_LNC007509)". The record is from RNAcentral. Lineage: Eukaryota; Viridiplantae; Streptophyta; Magnoliopsida; Lamiales; Lamiaceae.
UCAUAAGAAAGUGGUGUCAUAGGGAUACAUACAGGAAGUGCUAUGAACAUGCAAUUCAGCCUCUACCCGGAGUGAAGUUCUGGACAGUGAAAUAGGAGGAUGCAAUUGAGCCUCCACCAGUUAAAAAGAAGGUAGGAAGGCCAAAGAAGAACAGAGUGAGAACUCCUAAUGAGCCAAAACUGAAACACAAACUCUCAAGAAAGGGGAAGAUUCAACAUUGCAGCCUUUGUGGAAGUACAAGCCACAAGAAGGAUGCAUGUUCUCAAAGGCCUGCACGUGUAUGAAUGAAUUCACCUAUAAACUUAAAUAAGCCAGUUUAUUAUAUACCUAAUGAAUUUGUGUUUAAUGAGUGUAGUUAAGUAAGAGUUCACAGGCUUCUACAUCUUCAAAGCCAAGAAGGAACAUGCCAAGAAGAGGCUCACAGGCUGGGAUAGGUCUUUAUGUCAACGUUGACACUGGAAAACAAAUCCUAAAUGAAAGUUUCAACAUUGCUGCCUUUAUAACACUGAAUUUUUCAUGUAAUAUUAUACUAAAUACGUGUUCUUUGGUUGAUUUCACAGCCCGGAGGAUCCCAAUCAGUUGUAAUAGAUGAAGGCACACCAAGGGAUGGUGAUCCAAACAUGAGAUUUCUUAUACCAAAUGAAGCUAAGAUUAGGAAGGAAAAGAGAAAGAGAGGCCCAACCACUUCAAUUGGAGGGACCUUAAAAGUGAAGAAGUUUGCACCAAAGCCAUUCAAGGCUCCAAGAGGAAAGACAAAAGAUGAGAAGCAAGAACUCAUCCUCAGAAGAUCACCUAAAGGAAAAAAUGACAACUGUUGGUUCUACAAUUA